This 585-nucleotide ribosomal RNA is filed under the name uncultured beta proteobacterium. RNAcentral describes it as "bacterial SSU rRNA". It matches the Rfam family "Bacterial small subunit ribosomal RNA", at positions 338 to 916 of the family's 1533-position model. The record is from RNAcentral. Lineage: Bacteria; Pseudomonadati; Pseudomonadota; Betaproteobacteria.
CCUACGGGAGGCAGCAGUGGGGAAUUUUGGACAAUGGGGGCAACCCUGAUCCAGCAAUGCCGCGUGAGUGAAGAAGGCCUUCGGGUUGUAAAGCUCUUUUGUCAGGGAAGAAACGGUGGUCUCUAAUAUAGGCUGCUAAUGACGGUACCUGAAGAAUAAGCACCGGCUAACUACGUGCCAGCAGCCGCGGUAAUACGUAGGGUGCAAGCGUUAAUCGGAAUUACUGGGCGUAAAGCGUGCGCAGGCGGUUAUAUAAGUCAGAUGUGAAAUCCCCGGGCUCAACCUGGGAACUGCAUUUGAGACUGUAUAGCUAGAGUGUGUCAGAGGGGGGUAGAAUUCCACGUGUAGCAGUGAAAUGCGUAGAUAUGUGGAGGAAUACCAAUGGCGAAGGCAGCCCCCUGGGAUAACACUGACGCUCAUGCACGAAAGCGUGGGGAGCAAACAGGAUUAGAUACCCUGGUAGUCCACGCCCUAAACGAUGCUGACUAGUUGUUCGGGAUUUACAUCCUGAGUAACGUAGCUAACGCGUGAAGUCAGCCGCCUGGGGAGUACGGUCGCAAGAUUAAAACUCAAAUGAAUUGACGG